AUCUGUCAUGUCUGUUUUGUGAUGUUCCUGGGAGUAAGAGGAUAGGCUCUGAAUGGAGGAUGAAAUCUCCUCCUGAGAUGGAGAGCAAUAGGAGGAGAGACUAUUUCAUUGCAUAGGUAAUACCAUGCAUCAGCAAAGAUUAAAGACCCCUUCCUUUAAAGCUUUCGGUGCUGUCGGGCUACUUGAGUCAAUUCGUUUGUAUGCUCACUUGAUACACAAGUUCAAAUCCUGGCUAAGGUCGCAAGUUUGUUGAUCUCUUCUUAAUUCUGUCACAAGGGCCAAGAGAAAUCUGCGGAUUCGAUUUCUGACUUUCAGUCAAAUUUCAUUAAAUGAAAUGCAUGCUGUGUAGAAAUGUGCUUAUGUAGCCAGAAAAGGGACCAAGUGGAAAUGACACCCUCUUAAGCAAUGGAUCAGCUCCCUGUAGAGAUGCUACCUGACCUGAUCUGAAACUUGCUUGUUUUAUGCUUCUGAUAACUCAAGUGUUGAAACCCAACAUAGUUUCCUCCACUACUCACUCUUACCUGAUGAUGGGCAUUGCAGGGCGCUUUACAUUUCAAUAAAGAUACCUGCCCUCUAAGAGCAACUGUAAAAAGACAAGUUUGACUUUUGCGAAAGAGAGAACUUCAAAGUUCUUCCUCACGCCUGCUGUCGGAAAUGCAUCAGAAUACAAAAGAGAGGCUAAUUGACAGGUCUAUGGAGGCUGAAGGAAAACCUGGCUGUUGUGAAAGAGAGCAGGAUAAAUUGCAUAUUUUCCACAGAGCUACAAAAGUGUCUCUUCAAGACAUAACAUAUACUGUGUUGUGGAUCUUUAAAUAAGGUAAAGAAACAAUACAGGCCCUAAUGAAUCCCUACCCCCAAACUCCUGACUUUAGA
RNAcentral lists this long non-coding RNA (873 nucleotides) under Chrysemys picta bellii (western painted turtle). Its description in RNAcentral is "lncRNA (ENSCPBG00000019853.1)". Lineage: Eukaryota; Metazoa; Chordata; Testudines; Emydidae. The record is from RNAcentral.